Molecule: ribosomal RNA, 253 nt
Filed under: uncultured bacterium
Lineage: Bacteria
Description: partial 16S ribosomal RNA
Rfam family: Bacterial small subunit ribosomal RNA
Source: RNAcentral
UACGUAGGGGGCAAGCGUUGUCCGGAAUCAUUGGGCGUAAAGCGCGUGUAGGCGGUUUCGUAAGUCUGCUGUGAAAGUCGGAGGCUCAACCUUCGAAAGCCGGUGGAUACUGUGAGACUUGAGUACGGAAGAGGAGAGUGGAAUUCCUGGUGUAGCGGUGAAAUGCGCAGAUAUCAGGAGGAACACCAAAGGCGAAGGCAGCUCUCUGGGACGUUACUGACGCUGAGACGCGAAAGCGUGGGGAGCAAACAGG